This 74-nucleotide transfer RNA is filed under the name Phycisphaerae bacterium. RNAcentral describes it as "tRNA-Ile". It matches the Rfam family "tRNA". From Rfam's summary of the family: Transfer RNA (tRNA) molecules are approximately 80 nucleotides in length. Their secondary structure includes four short double-helical elements and three loops (D, anti-codon, and T loops). Lineage: Bacteria; Pseudomonadati; Planctomycetota; Phycisphaerae. The record is from RNAcentral.
GGGCUCGUAGCUCAGUUGGUUAGAGCGCGUCCCUGAUAAGGACGAGGUCACGUGUUCGAAUCACGUCGGGCCCA